Molecule: ribosomal RNA, 483 nt
Filed under: uncultured bacterium
Lineage: Bacteria
Description: bacterial SSU rRNA
Rfam family: Bacterial small subunit ribosomal RNA
Source: RNAcentral
AUUGAACGCUGGCGGCAUGCCUUACACAUGCAAGUCGAACGGUAACAGGUCUUCGGAUGCUGACGAGUGGCGAACGGGUGAGUAAUACAUCGGAACGUGCCCGAUCGUGGGGGAUAACGCAGCGAAAGCUGUGCUAAUACCGCAUACGAUCUACGGAUGAAAGCGGGGGAUCGCAAGACCUCGCGCGGACGGAGCGGCCGAUGGCAGAUUAGGUAGUUGGUGGGAUAAAAGCUUACCAAGCCGACGAUCUGUAGCUGGUCUGAGAGGACGACCAGCCACACUGGGACUGAGACACGGCCCAGACUCCUACGGGAGGCAGCAGUGGGGAAUUUUGGACAAUGGGGGAAACCCUGAUCCAGCCAUGCCGCGUGCAGGAUGAAGGCCUUCGGGUUGUAAACUGCUUUUGUACGGAACGAAAAGGUCCUUUCUAAUAAAGAGGGCUCAUGACGGUACCGUAAGAAUAAGCACCGGCUAACCUACGUG